GAAAGGCGUAGUCGAUGGAAAACAGGUUAAUAUUCCUGUACCACCUUUUUUUAGUGAUGGGGUGACGGAGUAGGAUAGAUCGGCCGAGUGUUGGAUUACUCGGUUUAAGCAUGUAGGAGUAAAGGAUUGGCAAAUCCGUCCUUUUUUAACUCCAAGGUGUUAAUACGAGAGGCCUAGCCUCAUAAAGUGAUUGAUUCCACACUUCCAAGAAAAACCUCUAAAUGUUGAUGAAAAGGUGCUCGUACUGUAAACGGACACACGUACGCGGGUAGAGUAUACCAAGGUGUUUGAGAUAAUUAUGGUCAAGGAACUCGGCAAACUAGCUCCGUAACUUCGGAAUAAGGAGUGCCUAUAUUAGGUGAAAGCUCUUGCAGCUCGAGCUGAAAUAGGUGGCACUGAACUGGUGGAAGCGACUGUUUACCAAAAACACAGGCCUGUGCUAACCCGCAAGGGGAUGUAUACGGGCUGACGCCUGCCCGGUGCUGGACGGUUAAGGGGAUGGGUUAUCCUUCGGGAGAAGCUUAGAACCGAAGCCCCAGUAAACGGCGGCCGUAACUAUAACGGUCCUAAGGUAGCGAAAUUCCUUGUCGUCUAAUUAGCGACCCGCAUGAAUGGCGUAACGACUUCUAUGCUGUCUCGACCAUAAUCUCAGCGAAAUUGUAGUGCUGGUGAAGAUGCCAGCUUCCCGUUGUGGGACGGAAAGACCCCGUGCACCUUUACUAUAACCUAGCACUGGAUUUUGAUACUAAAUGCGUAGGAUAGGUGGGAGACUAUGAAGAUUUGGUUUUGGCUGAAUCUGAGUCGUUGGUGAAAUACCACCCUUUUAAUAUUAGGAUUCUAACUGUAAUCCGUUAUCCGGAUUAAGGACACUGUUAGGCGGGUAGUUUGACUGGGGCGGUUGACUCCUAAAGAGUAACGGAGUCGCUCAAAGGUUCUCUCAGCCUGAUUGGAAACCAGGCGUCGAGUGUAAUGGCACAAGAGAGCUUGACUGUGAGAUCGACAGAUCGAGCAGGUACGAAAGUAGGACAUAGUGACCCGGUGGCUUCCAUGUGGGAGGGCCAUCGAUCAUCGGAUAAAAGGUACGCCGGGGAUAACAGAUUAAUCGCGCCCAAGAGUUCACAUCGACGGCGCGGAUUGAUACCUCGAUGUCGGCUCAUCGCAUCCUGGGGCUGAAGAAGGUCCCAAGGGUUUAGCUGUUCGCUAAUUAAAGCGGUACGCGAGCUGGGUUCAGAACGUCGUGAGACAGUUCGGUCCCUAUCUACAACGGGCGAAGGAGAAUUGAGAGGAGUUGCUCAUAGUACGAGAGGACCUGAGUGAACAAACCUCUAGUGUACCAGUUGUAGUGCCAACUGCAUUGCUGGGUAGCUACGUUUGGAAAGGAUAACCGCUGAAAGCAUCUUAAGUGGGA
Molecule: ribosomal RNA, 1408 nt
Filed under: marine metagenome
Description: bacterial LSU rRNA
Rfam family: Bacterial large subunit ribosomal RNA
Source: RNAcentral